This is a small RNA of Mesonia phycicola, 95 nucleotides long. It matches the Rfam family "Flavo-1 RNA". Lineage: Bacteria; Pseudomonadati; Bacteroidota; Flavobacteriia; Flavobacteriales; Flavobacteriaceae. The record is from Rfam.
AACUAGCCUUUUUUUUUGCGUGAGCGAUAGUAGUGGCAUCCUUUUUUUACUUUGAUAUAUGGUAAAAAAAGAUAAAGCGAAUAGCGCGGCCAGUA